Molecule: long non-coding RNA, 1350 nt
Organism: Carcharodon carcharias (great white shark)
Lineage: Eukaryota; Metazoa; Chordata; Chondrichthyes; Lamniformes; Lamnidae
Exons: 3
Source: RefSeq, a predicted model, not a curated record
GAAACGUCAACUCUUUUCUUCUCCGCCGAUGCUGCCAGACCUGCUGAGUUUUUCCAGGCACAUUUCCUUUGAUAAAUGGAAAUUUUGGGUGAUCUGCUGGUGGAUCGUUAAAGAGGAAUUUUUUACUGACGUGUCUGAAGUCCACGCAGCGAAUUCAACUUAACUGUUUCACUUGGAAUGGAUACUUUUCUUCGUCGCAUCCCUUGUUCCAGAAAAGAUUCCUCGAUCAAACUUUUUGGGUGAAGAUAACAUGGAUUCUGUGGAUCGUUAUACCUUUGAUGGAUGGACAUGGGACCUUAUUUUUGCCCUAACCCAUUGCAAUUUGAUGGAAUUGUAUGAGAUAGCCCAACGGAAUGAAUUGAAACUUAGUCUAUAUACCGGACAUUAUAAUGCAUGGAUGAAGCUGUUAAGUGUGACUAAUACUAAUUUGACUAUAAAUCCAGACCUGAAAUGUACGCAGUGUAAUGACACUGCAUGCAAUAUAACAUUUACAAUUCUAAAUGGAACUUGUAAAGAUAUGUAGUGUAAAUUUAUUACAUUACCACAUUUAUUUAGAGCUAAGUUUUGGCUCCCCAUAUUCUAUGGAAAAUGGUUGAAUGAAUAUGAUAAGACCCAUGUUGGGGAGGAUUGUGAGUACUGGCCUGAAGGAUUGGUACGUCCUUAUCACACCCCAGUGUUUGAGCCAUGUACCAUGUGAGCUUCGGGAGGAACAUGUAAAUGGAGGAAGUUACCUGUAAAUAAUAUACGAAUCAGGAAUUAGUUCAUAUUACAGACGAAUUACAUACCUUAACCGUCCAUCAUUGGUGGGAUAUUUUCAGCGGAUGGUCUCCCAAAGCCUCCACGAUCCUCUCCUUAAUUAUGCAUCCAACUGUGAUUUUACUAAUCAUACUCUGGAUUGCAUUUUUGGUUUUAUCGAUAUUACUAUGUAAAUUUUAUAAAUUGUAUCAUAAGGUAAUAGCUACUGAGCUAUUAAUUUGUGCAUAUACUCAUUUGCUUGAUAACCCUUGAGUAUCAAGGGGUGGAAUGUGGGAAUCUGCAGAUUGCCACGGUCUCAGAAUGAUACUCAUGGGUUAAUAUAGUAUAAUUUGUCUAAUGCUUGCAAACACCAGAUGGCUGUGACUGAUCCGGGAAAGAAUGUAACAAACAAGAUGAGUCCAUUGUUUGUACCAUACUAUAAAGGCAGGGACCUUCCAUUCGAAUUCGGACUUCACCUGUGGACUGGGUUCGCAACCGGUGCCAAGGAACUUGAGGAUAUCUCUCGACUAGCCAUCGCCGCGGGGUCCCCAAUGGGCAGAUGGACGUGAGAUUAUUGCUUGUAAUUGUGUAAAUAUAAUAAAGAAACAUUUAUAA